AACGAACGCUGGCGGCAUGCCUAACACAUGCAAGUCGAACGAGACCUUCGGGUCUUGUUGCGCACGGGUACGUAACGCGUGGGAACCUGCCCUUAGGUACGUAAUAACCCCUCGAAAGUGACUCUAAUACCGGAUAACUACUUCGGACCAAAGGUUUAACGCCUUUGGUUGGUCCCGGGUUGGGUUAACGAGGUGGUAGGGUAAAAGUCUACCAAGGCGGAGAUCCCUAGCUGGUCUGAGAGGAUGAUCAGGCACACUGGGACUGAGACACGGCCCAGACUCCCACGGGAAGGAGGAGGGGGGAAUAUUGGAAAAUGGGGGAAAGCCUGAACCCGCAAUGACGCGUGAGUGAUGAAGGGCUUAGGGUUGUAAAGCUCUUUUAACCGAGAAGAUAAUGACAGUACCGUGCGGAUAAGCCCCGGCUAACUCCGUG
Molecule: ribosomal RNA, 433 nt
Filed under: uncultured bacterium
Lineage: Bacteria
Description: partial 16S ribosomal RNA
Rfam family: Bacterial small subunit ribosomal RNA
Source: RNAcentral